AAAAAAAAAAAAAAAAGGCUAAAAUAAUUCAUCUUUUCUUUUUACCUAAAAUAACCUUUACAGAUAAAUGGCACAAAAGGAGGAGGCAACCUAUGGCCACAAGGAUGCUAAAUAAAAUUAGUUUCAAAAAUAUAGCAAGGCUAUUGAGGAAAACAGAGAUUAUUUUGUUAUUUUUCAGUAAAUUCACACAUUUGAUCCAAAAUUAUGAGGCAAAUAAAAAGCAGAGUUGAAAUUAUAA
This 238-nucleotide unclassified non-coding RNA is filed under the name Hevea brasiliensis (rubber tree). Lineage: Eukaryota; Viridiplantae; Streptophyta; Magnoliopsida; Malpighiales; Euphorbiaceae. The record is from RNAcentral.